Molecule: ribosomal RNA, 299 nt
Filed under: Scarodytes ruffoi
Lineage: Eukaryota; Metazoa; Arthropoda; Insecta; Coleoptera; Dytiscidae
Description: partial 18S ribosomal RNA
Rfam family: Eukaryotic small subunit ribosomal RNA
Source: RNAcentral
AGUCAUAUGCUUGUCUCAAAGAUUAAGCCAUGCAUGUCUCAGUACGAGCCGCUAACAAGGUGAAACCGCGAAAGGCUCAUUAAAUCAGUUAUGGUUCCUUGGAUCGUACCCACAGCUACUUGGAUAACUGUGGUAAUUCUAGAGCUAAUACAUGCAAACAGAGCUCCGACCGGAGACGGGAGGAGUGCUUUUAUUAGAACAAAACCGAUCGGCGGCGGGCGCGUCCGCGCGUCCGUCGGCCGCACAAGCCUGGUGACUCUGAAUAACUUCACGCUGAUCGCACGGUCUCGCACCGGCGA